CGAAGAAUAGUCUAAACAUGACACUAGCUUUGGGGGCUAGGAAUGGGAGUGAAAAUCCCCCUUCUUUGA
Molecule: transfer RNA, 69 nt
Filed under: Eviota japonica
Lineage: Eukaryota; Metazoa; Chordata; Actinopteri; Gobiiformes; Gobiidae
Description: tRNA-Pro
Rfam family: tRNA
About the family: Transfer RNA (tRNA) molecules are approximately 80 nucleotides in length. Their secondary structure includes four short double-helical elements and three loops (D, anti-codon, and T loops).
Source: RNAcentral